Molecule: ribosomal RNA, 335 nt
Filed under: uncultured Bacillota bacterium
Lineage: Bacteria; Bacillati; Bacillota
Description: bacterial SSU rRNA
Rfam family: Bacterial small subunit ribosomal RNA
Source: RNAcentral
GACGAACGCUGGCGGCGUGCCUAAUACAUGCAAGUCGAGCGAACAGAGAAGGAGCUUGCUCCUUUGACGUUAGCGGCGGACGGGUGAGUAACACGUGGGCAACCUACCCUAUAGUUUGGGAUAACUCCGGGAAACCGGGGCUAAUACCGAAUAAUCUAUUGUUCCUCAUGGGACAAUACUGAAAGACGGUUUUGGCUGUCGCUAUAGGAUGGGCCCGCGGCGCAUUAGCUAGUUGGUGAGGUAACGGCUCACCAAGGCGACGAUGCGUAGCCGACCUGAGAGGGUGAUCGGCCACACUGGGACUGAGACACGGCCCAGACACCUACGGGUGGCUG